Molecule: unclassified non-coding RNA, 329 nt
Filed under: plant metagenome
Description: partial contains 5.8S ribosomal RNA, internal transcribed spacer 2, and large subunit ribosomal RNA
Rfam family: 5.8S ribosomal RNA (bases 1-105)
Source: RNAcentral
GAAAUGCGAUAAGUAAUGUGAAUUGCAGAAUUCCGUGAAUCAUCGAAUCUUUGAAUGCACAUUGCGCCCUCUGGUAUUCCGAGGGGCAUGCCUGUCCGAGCGUCAUUGCGAACCCCUCAAGCACGGCUUGUGUGAUGGGCCCUCCCGCGUCUUGGUCGUCAAGACGGGCCCGAAAAGCAGUGGCGGCUUCGCGGUUAUCCGAUCAGCCAGAGCGUAUGGGGACUUUCUCUCUGUCACACGCCCGCGGCGCGGACCGACGCCUGUCGACCUUUAUUCAUCUUUUUCUCGGUUGACCUCGGAUCAGGUAGGGAUACCCGCUGAACUUAAGC